This is a small nuclear RNA of Haliotis rubra (blacklip abalone), 163 nucleotides long. RefSeq annotates it as U1 spliceosomal RNA. The transcript has a single exon. NCBI's taxonomy places the organism in Eukaryota, Metazoa, Mollusca, Gastropoda, Lepetellida, Haliotidae. The record is from RefSeq and is a predicted model, not a curated record.
AUACUUACCUGGCACAGGCUUUGGCUAUGAUCCGUAAGGCUGGCCCCGGGCGGUGACCUUCCAUUUGCACAUCGGUUUGGUUGACUUCGCGGGGAUCGUCCCAAAAUGUGGACGACUCCGGGUGCGUAAUUUAUAAGUGGGGACUGCGGCUCUGCCUCCCCUU